GAGUGUAGUACUAGGAUGGGUGACCUCCUAGGAAGUCCUCCAUCAGAAUUCCGAAGUUAAGCGUGCUUGGGCGAGUGUAGUUCUAGGAUGGGUGACCUCCUGGGAAGUCCUCAUGUUGCAUCCU
RNAcentral lists this ribosomal RNA (124 nucleotides) under Oryza punctata. Lineage: Eukaryota; Viridiplantae; Streptophyta; Magnoliopsida; Poales; Poaceae. The record is from RNAcentral.